UAUUGUGAAACCAUACACAUAUUGUUUAAGCCUUGUGAAGGAUUAUUAUGGUGAUACAAACUUCAAGAAAUCUUGAAGAUAAGGAUCAAGGAGUUCACAAGGACAUUUGGACAAUCAUCAAAGGAGGUUCAACAAAUUCCACACAUGGAUUCAGGUUAGCUUCCGCUCAUGUAGUUUAAUUCCGAAUUGUUCAAUAUGAAGGUUAUUGUCUUUAGUAGGAAUCAUAAUCCUUACA
RNAcentral lists this long non-coding RNA (235 nucleotides) under Nicotiana benthamiana. RNAcentral describes it as "long non-coding RNA (NBEN_LNC019818)". The record is from RNAcentral. Lineage: Eukaryota; Viridiplantae; Streptophyta; Magnoliopsida; Solanales; Solanaceae.